CGAAGUUUGGCAUUCGUGAGGACGCAGCCCUGUCAGAAAGGGCAUUCUCGCUUAUCUGUAUAUGAGAAUUUGA
This 73-nucleotide transfer RNA is filed under the name Toona ciliata. RNAcentral's name for it is "tRNA-Leu". Lineage: Eukaryota; Viridiplantae; Streptophyta; Magnoliopsida; Sapindales; Meliaceae. The record is from RNAcentral. RNAcentral also lists the same sequence under 3 other names.